CGCGGUGCGGAGAGAGAGACUCGCGGCCUAUUCAGUAGUGUAAGGAACGCUCACCAGGCGACGACGUUAGCUGCUGAAGGCGAUCGGCCACACUGAACUGAGACCGUCAGAUCCUACGGAAGCAGCAGUGGGAUAUGCACAUGACGCAGCUGAUGCAGCGACGCGCGUGGGGAUGAGCUCGGGUGUAAACCCUUUCAGCAGGGAGAGCGAAAGUGACGGUACUGCAGAAGAAGCGCCGGCUACUACGUGCCAGCAGCCGCGGUAAUACGUAGGGCGCAGCGUUGUCCGGAAUUAUUGAGCGUAAAGAGCUCGUAGGCGGUUUGUCGCGUCUGCUGUGAAAGUCCGAGGCUCAACCUCGGAUCUGCAGUGGGUACGGGCAGACUAGAGUGUGGUAGGGGAGACUGGAAUUCCUGGUGUAGCGGUGGAAUGCGCAGAUAUCAGGAGGAACACCAAUGGCGAAGGCAGGUCUCUGGGCCACAACUGACGCUGAGGAGCGAAAGCAUGGGGAGCGAACAGGAUUAGAUACCCUGGUAGUCCAUGCCGUAAACGGUGGGCACUAGAUGUGGGGCUCUUUCCAUGAGUUCCGCGUCGCAGCUAACGCAUUAAGUGCCCCGCCUGGGGAGUACGGCCGCAAGGCUAAAACUCAAAGGAAUUGACGGGGGCCCGCACAAGCGGCGGAGCAUGCGGAUUAAUUCGAUGCAACGCGAAGAACCUUACCAAGGCUUGACAUAUACGGUCUAUCCCUAGAGAUAGGGAGUGCUUCGGCGCCGUAUACAGGUGGUGCAUGGUUGUCGUCAGCUCGUGUCGUGAGAUGUUGGGUUAAGUCCCGCAACGAGCGCAACCCUCGUUCUAUGUUGCCAGCGCGUAAUGGCGGGGACUCAUAGGAGACUGCCGGGGUCAACUCGGAGGAAGGUGGGGAUGACGUCAAAUCAUCAUGCCCCUUAUGUCUUGGGCUUCACACGUGCUACAAUGGCGGUGACAGUGGGCAGCAACCGGGCGACCGGUAGCUAAUCUCCAAAAACCGUCUCAGUUCGGAUUGUUCUCUGCAACUCGAGAGCAUGAAGGCGGAAUCGCUAGUAAUCGCGGAUCAGCAUGCCGCGGUGAAUACGUUCCCAGGCCUUGUACACACCGCCCGUCACACCAUGGGAGUUGGUUUCACCCGAAGGCAGUGCUCUAACCCGCAAGGGAGGAAGCUGACCACGGUGGAUCAGCAGUUGA
Molecule: ribosomal RNA, 1218 nt
Filed under: uncultured bacterium
Lineage: Bacteria
Description: bacterial SSU rRNA
Rfam family: Bacterial small subunit ribosomal RNA
Source: RNAcentral